AGAGAAAAGAACGAAAACAAGCUCGGUUGAGUUUUAUGGAUUUAUCCGACAACCUCAGACCAUCAGAUGAGAAUUAUUUGACACUGUGGCUAGUAAUCUAUGUUCUGAGGAUAUGGGGAACAAUAAGAUUUGGUGUUGCAAUGUAUAAACACCAUACCAAAGACCAACUCGAAAAUUAUGCAACGUUUGACAAAAUCUUUUUCUAUAUUCAGUGCUUCGGAGAUUCUUCACAGGCUUUCUUCUCAUGUAUUUUAUUUUGCCUUUUAGAUCCCGUUAUUCGCAAUUCAUUGCUGACCUAUCGUCGUCGACAAAGUUACCACAGACUUGAUUCAGUUGUUGCUUGAAUGAGGGGGAACAGGACCUUUUUCGGGACGUCGGGAUCGGGUGUUUUUAUCUCGGGAUUUCGGGAUUGAUCCUUUUGGGAUCCGGGAAUUCUUUUUUUCGAAUUUAGCGAUGUCGGGAUUUAGAUUUCUUUAAGUUCGGGACCUCGGAAUUUCAUGUUUUUAAGCCCGCGAUUUCGGGAUCAGGACGCCUCCGACACCCCUCCCCCUUUUUGAAUGUUUGUUAUUGUUUUGUCGUUAUGUAUAUUUUGUACAGUUUUAUACAAUAUGUUUUAUUGAUACAUGUAUGUAUUAACAUUUUCCAUUUUAUUUUAAGAAUGAAUAAUGAGAUGUGGUAUGAUUGCCAAUGAGAGAGAACUAUCCACCAAAGUUCAAAUGCAGUUGAUGUAUUAAGCAGUCAUAGGCAACCGUACGAACUUCCAAUAUUGAGAAAACCCCAUACCAGUUUUAAAAAGCUCCGCCAUGACACAAUAUAAAUAAUUUAAUAAUAAAAAAAACAACGGCC
This 846-nucleotide long non-coding RNA is filed under the name Mytilus galloprovincialis (Mediterranean mussel). Lineage: Eukaryota; Metazoa; Mollusca; Bivalvia; Mytilida; Mytilidae. The record is from RNAcentral.